Molecule: RNA transcript, 6260 nt
Organism: Haemorhous mexicanus (house finch)
Lineage: Eukaryota; Metazoa; Chordata; Aves; Passeriformes; Fringillidae
Gene: ELAPOR1
Gene name: endosome-lysosome associated apoptosis and autophagy regulator 1
Exons: 23
Source: RefSeq, a predicted model, not a curated record
AGGGCUGGACCGGAAGUGGCUCUGGCUGUGCGCGCGUGUGUGUGCGGGUGUGUGUGUGCGCGUGUCCGUGUGCGCGUGUCCGUGUGUGCGCGUGUGCGUGUCCGUCCGUGUGUGUGUGUGAGGCGUCAGCCACGCUCCUUCCCUACACGUUGAUCUUAUUCGAUCGGCCGGGCUCCGCCGGGCCGAGGUGAGAAGAAAGCGCUGCGAAGCCCUCGGGCGCUGUGCGGCUGGGCCGGGCGGGAUGAGUCGAUCAGAUAGGCGAGGCCACGGCCGCUGAGCGCCCUGCGAUUCUGACCCGCGCCCACGUCUGCAGCCCCGGGGCCGACACCGGGCCGCUCCCGACAGCGGCGGAAGACGAAACGUCCCAGCCUCGUCCCGGCGGAGUCAGCCAGCCCAGAUGGGGAGGCGGGAAGUGCGUCCUGCCGCGGACUCCGUUGGCGCUUUGCCGGGCUCCGUGCUGGCCUUGCGGGGCCCGGCACGCUCCGUGCCGUGCUGGCAGUGGUUCAGCGGGCCCUGCGGCAAUGUGCCGCACAAAGACUGUACACGGGGCUGUGGUGGCACCGUGCCACGUGUGUGAGCUGGGCCCGGACCGUGCUGGUCCCGCGGGGCACCGGAGACUCGUUAGACCUACGAGCUUCAUGCACCACGGCCUCUGUUUUACUGGGGGUGUGUGGUGGUGGGGAUGGCCGUGGUGGUGACAAGAGGAUGGCCACAAGGGGGCGACCAUGGUGAAGACUGGGGGAUGGUCAUGGUAAUAAGAGGGAUAGCUAUGGUGCUGACGAAGCUCUGAUGGUAACCAGGGGACAGCCCCUGUGGAAACUGGAAAAGUACAGUUGUGCUGGUAACGAGAGGAUGGCCACGGUGAUAACAGGAGGACAGCUGUGGUGAUAGCAAGAGGAUGGCCGUGGUUGUGACAAGGGGACAGUAAGGGUAGGUGACCGAGGGGUGGCUACAGUGGUGACAAGAGGAUGAGCCUGAGAGGACAGCCACAGAGGUGAAAAGGGGAUGGCUGUCAUCAUGACAAGGCUGUGGUGGUGAUGAGGGGACAGCAGUGAUUCUGGUGUUACUGGGAGAAGCAACUGCGGUGGCUGCUAGUGGUGGCCAUGCUGUGGGGACACUCUAAGAGGAGUGCUUAAUGGUGCCUGGCAGGCUUCAUCUGCCAGGGUGACACUGUGGAUGCUGUGGGGCAUGGCCACCCCAUGCCACUGUCUCUAGCUGUGGCACAUGUAGGUGUGGGGUUGUCUCCAUGCUGCCAUAGGGACAGGCAUGUUUCCUUUCUGUGUCCCCUCUGCCUGUGGUACUUGCUGGCAUCCCUGUGUCACCACAGAUGAACAUGUGUCACUAGUGUCCGCCAACCCACAGAGUGACCUUGUGCCACCAGAUUUGGGACCUCUGGAUUGCCUUAGCAGCUCUGUCCCUCAUGUUCUCUUGUGACUGUGGUCCCCAUAUGCCCGUGUUCCCCAUCUCCCUGUGUGCUCCAUGUCCCUUGUGUUCCCAUGUUUUCUGAAUCCUUCAUGUACCCCUAUGUCCCCAAUCUCCCUGUGUUCCCAUAUCAGCUGUGUACUCAGUGUCCCUCUGUAGCCCCUUACCAGCUGUGUUCCUAUGUCCCUCAUGUUCAGAUCCCCCCUAUAUCCCGUGUCCCUCUGUGUCCUCCAUUUUCCCGUGUCCCCUGUAUCAGCUCUACCCAGUGUCCCUGAUGUUCCUGUGUCCCACGUGUUUCUAUAUCCCCUGUACCCCCUAUGUCCCUUGUGUCCUCCAUGCCCAGAAUAUACAGCCACAUGUGUCCCCUGUCCUGUCCCCCCUGCAGUGGGGCUGGCCCGGCUCCGUGGGGACAUGGCCUGAGGGGUACACGAGUGGCACCCAGUCUCCGGUGGGGUGGAGGUGGCUCCGGGGUGCGGGGGCUCAUGACUCCCCCUCGCCGUGUCCCGGUCCUCCCCCAGCCCGGGGCGGCGGAGGAGGGGCUGUUCCCGGGGGCGGGGAGGCGGGGGCAUGAGGCCCGGAGACGGUCCCGGUGCUGUUCCUGGAAUAGCAUUUCCAAAUCCGUUCGCAGGGAUAAGUUCCCGAUGCCGUUCCCAGAAACGCGUUCCGGGGAUUACGUUCCCAGUCCCGUUUCUGGGGAUGCACUCCCAAGGAUGAUGGGGUUCCCGGCGGCGUUCUCAUGGAUAACACUCCCGGUGCCGAUGCCCGGCGCCAAUCUCGGGAUACCAUUCCCGGGUAUAACCUUGGCCGUGCUGUUCCUGGGAGUUCCCUUCCCGUGUUUCUAUUCCCGACACCGAUGCGCGGUGCCAUUCCCAUGACUAGCAUUCUCGAUACCGAUUCCCGGUGCUGUUCUCAUGGCAAGCGUUCACGGAUGCGAUGCCAGUUGCCGUUCCAGGGGGGGUCUAUUCGUGAUCCACUGCCCGUUCCCGUUCCCUGGGGCGAUGCCCCCUGCCAUUCCCACCGUUCCCGGUGCCCGUUCUCGGAGGUGAUGCCCGGUGCCGUUCCCGGGGCUUCCUCUCCCAGUGUCUAUUCCCGUUCCCGGGAGCGAUGCCGGGUGCCAUUCCCAAGGGUUCUGUGCCCGAUGCCGUUCCCAGAGGUUCUGUUCCCGGUGCCUAUUCCUGUUCCCGGGGGCGGGGGCAGGUAGCGGCAGGUGCGCGGAGGCCGGGCCGUUGGCGGGGGCGGGGCAGCGGCGCCGGUGCUCGCACCGGCCGAGCUGCCGCCGUUGCCACCGCCGUUGCUGCCGCCAUGGCCGGUAGCGGAGCCCGGUGGAUGCCGCUGGCGCUGUGUCUGGCUGUCAUCUUGUCACCGGGACGCACCGGAGAGCAGCUACACGUCUGCAAGGAGUCCGAGUACCACUAUGAGUACACAGCAUGUGACAGCUCAGGAUCACGCUGGAGGGUGGCUGUACCCCACACACCUGGACUCUGCACUGGCCUGCCUGACCCUGUCAGGGGCACUGAAUGUUGUAAGAUUCCUGCCAGGAAUGGCAUGGGGUCAGGCUGGCAGGUGGCAAUGGCAGGGAUGGGAAAUGAGGCAUUCUCCUGCAAGGCGGGUGAGUUCCUGGAGAUGCAGACGCAGACGUGCCGGCCCUGCGCUGCAGGCACCUACUCGCUGGGCACUGGUGUCCGCUUCGAUGAGUGGGAUGAGGUGCCCCAUGGCUUUGCCAAUGUGGCCACCAACCUGGAGGUGGAUGAUGGCUUUGGCGAUGCGGCAGAGAACUGCACAGCGUCAACAUGGGUGCCACUGGGGGACUACGUGGCCUCCAACACAGAUGAGUGCACGGCCACCCUAAUGUAUGCUGUGAGCCUCAAGCAGUCGGGGACUGUCACCUUCGAAUACAUCUAUCCUGACAGCAGCAUCGUCUUUGAAUUCUUCGUGCAGAACGACCAGUGCCAGCCCACGGUGGAGGAGUCCCGCUGGAUGCGGACGACAGAGAAGGGCUGGGAAUUCCACAGCGUGGAGCUGAGCCGUGGGAACAACGUGCUGUACUGGCGGACCACCGCCUUCUCUGUCUGGUCCAAGGUGCCUAAACCAGUGCUGGUGAGGAACAUCGGCAUUACAGGGGUGGCCUUCACUUCCGAGUGCUUCCCCUGCAAGCCCGGCACCUUCGCCCCCGCGUCCGGCUCAACCGCCUGCCAGCUCUGUCCCGCCGACACUUUCUCUGGCAAAGGGGCCACCGCCUGCCAGCCCUGCGACUCUGACACCUACGCUGAGCCCGGCUCGGGGUCCUGCAAGCCACGCCCGCCCUGCACAGACAAGGAUUUCUUCUACACCCACACGGCCUGCGACGCCAGUGGGGAGACCCAGCUGAUGUACAAGUGGGCAGAGCCCAAGAUCUGCAGCGAGGAGCUGCCGCAGGCGGCCCGGCUGCCAUCCUCGGGGGUCAAGACCCAAUGCCCCCCCUGCAACCCUGGCUUCGCCAAAGGCAACAGUAGCACCUGCCAGCCCUGUCCCUAUGGCUUCUAUUCCAACGGCUCCGCCUGCCUCAGUUGCCCAGAGGGCACUGAGCCGGUGCUGGGCUUGGAGUACAAGUGGUGGAACGUGCUGCCCCCCAACAUGGAGACCACCGUGCUCAGCGGCAUCAACUUUGAGUACAAGGGCAUUGCAGGCUGGGAGGUAGCUGGGGACUACAUUUACACAGCAGCUGGAGCCUCUGACAGUGACUUCAUGAUCCUCACGCUGGUGGUCCCUGGCUUCAGCCCUCCAAGCCCAGUGCUGGAGGACACAGAGAGCAGGGAGGUGGCCAGGAUCACCUUUGUUUUCGAGACGCUGUGCAGUGUUGGCUGUGAGCUCUACUUUAUGGUGGGUGUCAACUCACACACCAACACUCCGGUGGAGACAUGGACAGGCUCCACGGGGAAACAAUCCUACACCUACCUGGUGGAGAAGAACGCGACCGUGAGCUUCACCUGGGCCUUCCAGCGAACCCCGUACCACGAGGCGGGCCGGCGGUUCACCAGUGAUGUGGCCAAGCUGUACAGCAUCAACGUCACCAAUGUGCAGGGGGGGGUGGCCUCCUUCUGCCGCCGCUGUGCCCCCCAGCCCACUGGGUCCUGUGCCCCGUGUUCCCCUGGCAGUGCUGUGGACCCCAGCUCAGGCACCUGCCAGCCUUGCCCACCUGGCACCUACCUGUGGGGCCACCCCUCCGACGGGACGCCCACCUGCCACCCCUGUGGCCCUGGCACACGCAGCAACCAGCUGCGAUCACUAUGCUACAACAACUGCAGCCUGGCACUGGCACUGCCAGGCCGGAUGCUGCACUUUGAGUUCCCAUCGCUGGGCCAAGGUGCCGGGGUGGGCACUGGGUCCAGCUUCACCCCCAAAGGACUGCGCUACAGCCAUCACUUCCACCUUAGCCUCUGUGGGCACCAGGGCAGGAAGAUGGCCUCAUGUGCUGACAAUGUGACAGCAGGUCUGGGGGGCCCUGCCCGUGUGGUCACCUCUUAUGUGUGCCAGGCCAUUCUGGUGCCCCCUGAUGUCACCGGAGCCCGCGCAGCUGUGUCUUCUCAGCCCAUCAGCCUGGGUGACCACUUGCUGGGUGUCACCACCAGCUCUGUGCUGGACGGCAUCGUGUCUCCCCCAGAGCUCUUCCCCCCCAGCCACCCUGACCUGCCUGACAUCAUCUUCUUCUUCAGGUCCAACGACAUGACACAGCCCUGCAGCAGUGGCCGGGCCACCACCAUCCGCCUGCGUUGUGACCCCCUGCGCAUUGGUACUGGCACUCUGGCUGUCCCCAGCAAAUGCCCCGAGGGCACCUGCGACGGCUGCACCUUUCAUUUCUUGUGGGUGACGGCCGAGGGAUGUCCCCGCUGCUCCAGCUCCCACCACCGUCCCAUUGUCGGCGCCUGUAUCGGCGGCGUUCAGAAAACCACCUACGUGUGGCAAGAGCCCCGGCUGUGCCACGGCGGAGACGCCCUACCGCCGCAGGUGAUCCAGGCAUGCCGGAGCGUGGAUUUUUGGCUAAAAGUGGGAAUUUCCACUGGGACGUGCGCGGCCGUCUUGCUGGCCGCGCUCGCCGCUUAUUUCUGGAAAAAGACUCAAAAGUUGGAAUACAAAUAUUCCAAGCUGGUGAUGGACGCGGCAGCCCGGGAGACCGACGCGACGUCGCCCGACAGCUGCGCCAUCAUGGAGGGGGAGGACGCGGAGGACGAGCUGCUCUUUGCCACCGAAAUGUCACUUUUUGGAAAACUCAAAGCCCUAACGGCCAAGCGGAUGCCGGAUGGAUUCGACUCGGUUCCGCUCAAGACCUCAUCCAGCAGCAUCGAUCGGGAGCUGUAAGAGGACAGGGGUCACCCUCACAUCCCCCAGCCCUCCCGGAAGCUGUGACGGGCCAGAGGGACACCCACGGACACCCCGCCCGCGGGCAGCUGUGAAGGGAACGGGGGUACCCACGGCCCAUCCCCCCGCGCCCCCAACGUGGCCUUAGGACCCGCUUCGGACCGGAGCCUCGUUAGGGGUUUUCCACAGUCGUGCCAUGGAGUGCUGCAGAGGGACAUGGAGCAGCUCUUGGGAGCCCAUGAGUAACUGGGGUGCGAGGUGUCCUCGGGCAGGAGAUCCGCAGAGCCCACCAGUAUGUCUGGUAUGUGGCUGAGGAACCCCAGGAAUCCUCGGGGUGCGAGGCCAGAACUGCGGAGACCCCUCUGGCGGGGGGGCUCAAGGAUGCUCGGACCGCUCGGGCCCCUCCAGACCCCGCCAUAUCCUCCCCAAACCCUCUCAACACUUCCCAAUACCCCUGUCCUCCCGCCCUGCCUGGGCCUCCCGACCCGCCGGAAGCCCCCUCG